This 407-nucleotide ribosomal RNA is filed under the name uncultured prokaryote. Its description in RNAcentral is "bacterial SSU rRNA". It matches the Rfam family "Bacterial small subunit ribosomal RNA", at positions 355 to 774 of the family's 1533-position model. The record is from RNAcentral.
UGGGGAAUAUUGCACAAUGGGCGAAAGCCUGAUGCAGCGACGCCGCGUGAGGGAUGAAGGCCUUCGGGUUGUAAACCUCUUUCAGCAGGGAAGAAGCGAAAGUGACGGUACCUGCAGAAGAAGCACCGGCUAACUACGUGCCAGCAGCCGCGGUAAUACGUAGGGUGCGAGCGUUGUCCGGAAUUAUUGGGCGUAAAGAGCUUGUAGGCGGUUUGUCGCGUCUGCUGUGAAAAUCCGGGGCUCAACCCCGGACUUGCAGUGGGUACGGGCAGACUAGAGUGUGGUAGGGGAGACUGGAAUUCCUGGUGUAGCGGUGAAAUGCGCAGAUAUCAGGAGGAACACCAAUGGCGAAGGCAGGUCUCUGGGCCACCACUGACGCUGAGAAGCGAAAGCGUGGGGAGCGAACA